Molecule: long non-coding RNA, 1272 nt
Filed under: Pan paniscus (pygmy chimpanzee)
Lineage: Eukaryota; Metazoa; Chordata; Mammalia; Primates; Hominidae
Description: lncRNA (ENSPPAG00000045491.1)
Source: RNAcentral
AAAUGACAUAUCGAAGUAAAACCAAAUGGGAAAAGUUAAAUAUUCCCCUUCCACUGGAUAUUUUAGUGGCCAAAUUAUUUUUUUAAUUUAUGAUUAUUCAUUCUCCUUAUUCAUUCAUCCAUAUAGCCAUCUGCUUACUUAAAAAGAAUCUAUGGAACAUAAGCUAUGUGAUAAGUACAUGGAAUAAAGAGAAGAUAUGUUUGGCAUAUCUUAAAGAAGCAGAAACAUCACUGAAUAUCCAUCAGUGAAAAUCUAAAAAUAUGAAAACCAAGUCUUCAGAGCGGCAGCAAUGAAUCAAACCUAUUACUGAGACUUUAAGCCUCUCCAGCUGCAUGUGAAGGAGGUGUGAAAAAAUGAAAGUUCAAUAAUCUAAAAAAAGUAGUGCCUUUCCGCACUUUGUGGGAUGGUGGUGAUUGUGGAGCACACAAAGUAGUAUUCACUCAGUGGGUGAUUUUUGCAGUAGCAGUCUGAUCUAAGUCUAAAUCUCAAUCCAAAAUUAAAACUCAAGAUGUGUUUCAUUGCUUCUGAGCCAACAUUUUUCUGUACUGUAUUCUCUAGCUAAGCUCCUCUAUGUCUCUGAUCAUCUUGUGAUUUUACCUUAUUUCAAGUGAAAGUCUUUAGAACAUCCCUUUUGAAAAAAAAAUGUGCAAUUUUAAAACACACCUGCCUGGAUGAUUGCUUCUUAUUUUCAUUACCUCAUUUGGAAAAUCAUAAAUUGUCUCUUAUAUAAGAUGGAAUAGUAAAAUGGAGUGGAAAAUGUCUCCAGAAUUUCAUGUUUCUCACUGUGUUAUCCUGGGAGAUCCUCAAUUUACAGAAUAUAGCUACAAGGAUUUUUCAGUCUUUUAACUUGUGGUGUUCAAAAUGAUAUAUUAUGAUAAAUAUGAAGAGAUAAAUUUUCUUUUGGUGGAAAGAUAAAAAUUGAUUGCAACCUUGUUUUUCUUUCAUAUGGUUUUGUUAUUACACUCAAAUAAUAAGUUAAUAAAAUGUACUGAUAGUGUUUCAAAUAAACUUUGAUGAAAAUCAUGAUUUCACAUACACUCAAAAAGCUAUUUGUAAUUGCUAAUGUAACGGAGUACAUAAUGAAAUUAAGUAACUAGUUUGUUAUGAGCUCUUUGUACUUAAAGCUCUGUCUAACAGAGCUUUGCUUCAACAAAAUAGCAUCAGAUCUCCAGGUUUACCGACAAAAUUGUCUUAAUGUAAAAUUACUGAGCAUAAAGAUAACCUCAUAUAGCAAGGAAAAAAACUUAUGUAAAUAACCACUCAGAUGACAAG